CAUUAAGAUAAUAAGGGCGUAUGGUGGAUGCCUUGGCACCGAAAGCCGAUGAAGGACGUGGCAAGCUGCGAUAAGCCGUGUGGAGCCGCAAGCGAGCUUUGAUGCACGGAUCUCCGAAUGGGGAAACCCGGCGGGCGUAAUGGCCCGUCACCCCCGUCUGAACACAUAGGGCGGGAGGAGGGAACCCGGGGAAAUGACACAUCUGAGUACCCGGAGGAAAAUAAAGAAAGUCUCGAUUCCCUGAGUAGUGGCGAGCGAAAGGGGAGAUAGCCCAAACCUGUUGCGUGAAAGCCUGCGGGCGUUGCGCAGUGGGGGUUGUAGGACCAACCUGGUCGUCCCGCAGGGCGGCCGAGGAGUUACAAAUCGCGCGGGUAGUCGAAUGGCGCAGGAAAGCCCGGCCGUAGAGGGUAAUAGCCCCGUAGACGAAACUCGCGUGACUCCUAGUUGGCACCUGAGUAGAUCCGGACACGUGAAACCCGGAUCGAAUCCGCGGGGACCACCCCGCAAGGCUAAAUACUAACGGUGACCGAUAGUGAACCAGUACCGUGAGGGAAAGGUGAAAAGUACCCCGCAAGGGGGGUGAAAUAGUACCUGAAACCAUACGCUUACAAGCGGUCGGAGCGGUAGCUUUUGCUGCCGUGACGGCGUACUUUUUGCAUAACGGGCCAGCGAGUUGCUGGUGUCUGGCGAGGUUAAGCUUAGGCGAGCCGAAGCGAAAGCGAGUCUGAAUAGGGCGUACAGUCAGAUGCCGCAGACCCGAAACCGGGUGAGCUAUCCAUGGCCAGGCUGAAGCGGGGGUAAGACCUCGUGGAGGGCCGAACCGACCUGGGUUGAAAACCGGGCGGAUGAGCUGUGGAUAGGAGUGAAAGGCUAAUCAAACCCGGCGAUAUCU
RNAcentral lists this ribosomal RNA (892 nucleotides) under Chloroflexota bacterium. RNAcentral's name for it is "partial 23S ribosomal RNA". It matches the Rfam family "Bacterial large subunit ribosomal RNA", at positions 1 to 850 of the family's 2925-position model. The record is from RNAcentral. Lineage: Bacteria; Bacillati; Chloroflexota.